GCGCGCCGUAUGCGGGGAAACUCGCCUGUGCGGUGCAGAGCGGGGGAAAAGCUGGAGAUAGCAUCAAAAGCUUACCUAUCGCUAU
RNAcentral lists this non-coding RNA (85 nucleotides) under Bacillus wiedmannii. Lineage: Bacteria; Bacillati; Bacillota; Bacilli; Caryophanales; Bacillaceae. The record is from RNAcentral.